GGACCUUUAGCUCAGCUGGUCAGAGCAACCGGCUCAUAACCGGUCGGUCCUGGGUUCGAGUCCCAGAAGGUCCA
This 74-nucleotide transfer RNA is filed under the name Blautia sp. Its description in RNAcentral is "tRNA-Ile". It matches the Rfam family "tRNA". Rfam says of the family: Transfer RNA (tRNA) molecules are approximately 80 nucleotides in length. Their secondary structure includes four short double-helical elements and three loops (D, anti-codon, and T loops). Further hydrogen bonds mediate the characteristic L-shaped molecular structure. tRNAs have two regions of fundamental functional importance: the anti-codon, which is responsible for specific mRNA codon recognition, and the 3' end, to which the tRNAs corresponding amino acid is attached (by aminoacyl-tRNA synthetases). tRNAs cope with the degeneracy of the genetic code in two manners: having more than one tRNA (with a specific anti-codon) for a particular amino acid; and 'wobble' base-pairing, i.e. permitting non-standard base-pairing at the 3rd anti-codon position. Lineage: Bacteria; Bacillati; Bacillota; Clostridia; Lachnospirales; Lachnospiraceae. The record is from RNAcentral. RNAcentral also lists the same sequence under 1 other name.